Molecule: ribosomal RNA, 1524 nt
Filed under: Alveopora japonica
Lineage: Eukaryota; Metazoa; Cnidaria; Anthozoa; Scleractinia; Poritidae
Description: bacterial LSU rRNA
Rfam family: Bacterial large subunit ribosomal RNA
Source: RNAcentral
CAACUAGGAUGUUGGCUUAGAAGCAGCCACUCAUUUAAAGAGUGCGUAACAGCUCACUAUUCAAGUGGUUUUGCGCUGAAGAUAUAACGGGGCUCAAGUAGUAUACCGAAGCUAUGGAUUUAUGUAAAUAAAUGGUAGGAGAGCGUUCUAACAACAAUGAAGUUUCUCUGGAAAGAGGGAUGGAGUGGUUAGAAGCGAGAAUGCCGGCGUGAGUAACGAUUGGAAGUGAGAAUCUUCCAUGCCGAAUGAUCAAGGUUUCUUGGGCAAGGUUCGUCCGCCCAAGGUUAGUCAGGUCCUAAUACGAGACCAAAAGGUGUAGUAGAUGGCAAAUUGGUUGAUAUUCCAAUACCAUGAUUAUCUGUGAAGGAGUGACAAAGGAGGCUAGGAUGAGCGAGUGAUUGGUUGAACUCGUCUAAGCAUUUAAAAGCGGAGAUUGGUAAAUCCGUCUCCUGAUGCUUGAAGUGUGAAAGAUAAUGAAAUUCUUCGGAAAAGUAGUAAAGCAUCCGACGCCAAGCUUUCAAGAAAAGCUUCUAACAUUAAGGAUAAUCGUGCCUGUACCGACAACGAACACACGUGAUCAGAAAGAGAAUUUUCAGGCAAGCGAGAUAACCACAUUUAAGGAACUCGGCAAAAUUACCCCGUAAGUUCGCAAGAAGGGGUACUUCUGUGCAAACAGAAGUCGCAGUGAAUUGGUCCGGGCGACUGUUUAACAAAAACACAGGUCUCUGCGAAAGAGUAAUCCCAAGUAUAGAGGCUGAUACCUGCCCAGUGUUAGAAGGUUAAGGAAGAGGGUUUCUUCAUCAUUUUCUUUACUGAAUUUUGGUGAAUUGGCUUUCGACUGAAGCCCUAAUGAACGGCGGCUGUAAAUAUAACGGUCCUAAGGUAGCGAAAUUCCUUGUCAGGUAAGUUCUGACCUGCACGAAAGGUGUAACGAUCUGGAUACUGUCUCAAAUGUGGACUCGGUGAAAUCUUAUUACUUGUGAUGAUGCGAGUUACCCGCAGCUAGACGAAAAGACCCCGUGGAGCUUUACUAUAUCUUGAUAUUGGAUUCUAGUGCUGUCUGUACAGCAUAGGUAGGAAACAAUGAAGUUGCAACGCCAGUUGUGAUCGAGUUGCCAGUGGAAUACUACCCUGGGAGUAUUGGAAUCCUUACCUUUUGUUAACCAACGAAGGGACAGUGUCUGGUGGGUAGUUUGACUGGGGCGGUCGCCUCCUAAAAGGUAACGGAGGCGCUCAAUGGUACUUUCAGUAUGGUCGGAAAUCAUACACGGAGCGUAAAGGUAGAAAAGUGCUUGACUGUGAGACUAACUGGUUGAACAGGUACGAAAGUAGGACUUAGUGAUCCGGCAAUGCACCGUGUUGUGCUUGUCGCUCAACGAAUAAAAGUUACCCCGGGGAUAACAGGUUUAUCUUCCCCAAGAGUUCACAUCGACGGGAAGGUUUGAUACCUCGAUGUCGGCUUGCCGUAUCCUGGAGCUGAAGCAGGUUCCAAGGGUUGGGCUGUUCGCCCAUUAAAGCGGUACG